CUCUGCCUCAUGUGUAGAAUACUUUUCAGAUGAGAAAUGAGUAAAUCCUGAAUCUCAAUCACCAUCUUACCUCUCACCCAUUCAUCUAUUCAUUCAAUAAAUGCUUAUUGAAUGUUUCCUAUAAGAAACAUAGCUAUAAAGAUGACAUUUGCUCAUGAAAUACUUUCAUUAAAAAAAAAAAGCUUUCCCUUCUCUCCGUGCUUUUUAUAUCUGCAACAUCACCUAAUUUUAUCAUCAAACUAUAGAAAAAAGAUUUCUAGCAUGGUCAGGUGCUAAGACAAAGGGAAUGGCUCAGAAGACUUUGACCUUUGUUCAUCUUCGGUGAAAAAGUUUCAUGACUAGCAAUUCCUUUUGGAAUAUACUCUGCCUGAAAGUGUGGUUUGUGAAGUUUUGGUUUGGUAAGAUGUUGCUGGUGGAACAAAUUCUUAGGCUAAAUAAUCCCAAUUCCUCCAACCAAAGGAAUGUUCUUUACUGCCAGAGAAUUCCUGGGAGAUGUCUCCCUGUAUUGGUUGUGACCAACAUUGCGAACCAGUUGCUCUCAGGCAUCUAAUCUCAUGAAUGUGACCUUUGCUACCUGGCACAUACAAGAGAAGUAAGAGAAAUAACAUCACCAUUUUUACAUUGUAUUUACUGACCUUUAGAGAACAUUUGACACCAUUAACAACAGCUGGACUAUGACAGCUACUAAGUACCUUUGGCUCUUUAGAGAUUGCCAAGAUUAUAAAAUUAUUCGAUGAUGGUGAACCUGGUGGAAGUGUCAGCAGUAAAGCUUGAAGGCAAACAUUCCUGAUCUAUCAAAUAGAGUCAGGAACCAUUGAAUCACAGAAUUAGAUUCUCAAAUUUUGAAGGCUAUGACAACCACUGGAUCCCACACAUACCUGAACAAGAAUCACCUCUAAGACCAUUGAACCACAGAUUUAAAAUUGGAAUUGGAAAGAAUGUUAGAGGAUGUUGAGUUCAACUCCUGUACUUUACAGAAGAGAAAACAUAAGCCCAGAGACAUUAAGUGGCUUGACCUAGGUCAUACAGGGAGUAAGUCAAAGAUCUAGUACUUUAACUCAAGUCAUCUGACUCCAAAUUCAGCACUUUUUACAUGCCAUAACAC
This 1105-nucleotide long non-coding RNA is filed under the name Monodelphis domestica (gray short-tailed opossum). Its description in RNAcentral is "lncRNA (ENSMODG00000040413.1)". Lineage: Eukaryota; Metazoa; Chordata; Mammalia; Didelphimorphia; Didelphidae. The record is from RNAcentral.